AGAAACUUAGGUUAAUUUUAAACCAAAGGCCUUCAAAGCCUUUAAUAGGGUCAAAAACUCCCUAGUUUCUG
Molecule: non-coding RNA, 71 nt
Organism: Podarcis lilfordi (Lilford's wall lizard)
Lineage: Eukaryota; Metazoa; Chordata; Lepidosauria; Squamata; Lacertidae
Source: the annotation of a GenBank genome assembly